UGGGGCGUAGCCAAGUGGUAAGGCACGGGACUUUGGAUCCUGCAGCCCAGGUUCGAAUCCUGGCGCCCCAGCCA
This 74-nucleotide transfer RNA is filed under the name Bacillota bacterium. Its description in RNAcentral is "Firmicutes bacterium (anaerobic digester metagenome) tRNA-Gln". It matches the Rfam family "tRNA". From Rfam's summary of the family: Transfer RNA (tRNA) molecules are approximately 80 nucleotides in length. Their secondary structure includes four short double-helical elements and three loops (D, anti-codon, and T loops). Further hydrogen bonds mediate the characteristic L-shaped molecular structure. tRNAs have two regions of fundamental functional importance: the anti-codon, which is responsible for specific mRNA codon recognition, and the 3' end, to which the tRNAs corresponding amino acid is attached (by aminoacyl-tRNA synthetases). tRNAs cope with the degeneracy of the genetic code in two manners: having more than one tRNA (with a specific anti-codon) for a particular amino acid; and 'wobble' base-pairing, i.e. permitting non-standard base-pairing at the 3rd anti-codon position. Lineage: Bacteria; Bacillati; Bacillota. The record is from RNAcentral.